This 734-nucleotide ribosomal RNA is filed under the name uncultured archaeon. Its description in RNAcentral is "bacterial SSU rRNA". It matches the Rfam family "Archaeal small subunit ribosomal RNA", at positions 144 to 879 of the family's 1478-position model. The record is from RNAcentral.
GAAUAAUCCGCGAUAGAUCAUAGUUCCUGGAAUGGUUUAUGGUCGAAAUGAUUCGUCGCCAUAGGAUGGGACUGCGGCCUAUCAGCUUGUUGGUGAGGUAAUGGCUCACCAAGGCUAUUACAGGUACGGGCUCUGAGAGGAGAAGCCCGGAGAUGGGUACUGAGACACGGACCCAGGCCCUAUGGGGCGCAGCAGGCGAGAAACCUUUGCAAUGUGCGCAAGCACGACAAGGUUAAUCCGAGUGUUUCCUGCUAAAGGAAUCUUUUGUUAGUUCUAAAACCACUGAUGAAUAAGAGGUGGGCAAGUUCUGGUGUCAGCCGCCGCGGUAAAACCAGCACCUCAAGUGGUCAGGAGGAUUAUUGGGCCUAAAGCAUCCGUAGCCGGUUCUGUAAGUUUUCGGUUAAAUCCACUAGCUCAACUAAUGGGCUGCCGAAAAUACUGCAGAACUAGGGAGUGGGAGAGGUAGACGGUACUCGGUAGGAAGGGGUAAAAUCCUUUGAUCUAUUGAUGACCACCUGUGGCGAAGGCGGUCUACCAGAACACGUUCGACGGUGAGGGAUGAAAGCUGGGGGAGCAAACCGGAUUAGAUACCCGGGUAGUCCCAGCUGUAAACGAUGCAGACUCGGUGAUGCACUGGCUUGUGGCCAGUGCAGUGCCGCAGGGAAGCCGUUAAGUUUGCCGCCUGGGAAGUACGUACGCAAGUAUGAAACUUAAAGGAAUUGGCGGGGGAGCAC